RNAcentral lists this ribosomal RNA (484 nucleotides) under uncultured bacterium. RNAcentral's name for it is "partial 16S ribosomal RNA". It matches the Rfam family "Bacterial small subunit ribosomal RNA", at positions 30 to 507 of the family's 1533-position model. The record is from RNAcentral.
AUUGAACGCUGGCGGCAGGCCUAACACAUGCAAGUCGAGCGGAUGAAGGGCGCUUGCUCCUGGAUUCAGCGGCGGACGGGUGAGUAAUGCCUAGGAAUCUGCCUGGUAGUGUGGGAUAACGUCCGGAAACGGGCGCUAAUAACGCAUACGUCCCGAGUGAGAAAGUGGGGGAUCUUGGGACCUUCCGCUAUCAGAUGUGGCUAGGUCGCAUUAGCUAGUUGGUGGGGUAAAGUCCUACCAAGGCGGUGAUCCGUAACGGGUCUGAGAGGAUGCUCAGUGACGGUGGAGGUGAGAGACGGUCUAGAGUCUGACGGGAGGCAGAAGUGGCGAAUAGGGGAAGAUGGGCGAAAGACUGAUCCAGGCAUGCAGCGUGUGUGAAGAAGGUCUUCGGGUUGUAAAGCACUUUACGUGGGGAGGACGGGCAGUAAGUAAAUAGCAUGCUGUUUUGACGUUACCAACAGAAUAAGCACCGGCUAACUUCGUG